This 400-nucleotide unclassified non-coding RNA is filed under the name soil metagenome. RNAcentral's name for it is "partial contains 5.8S ribosomal RNA, internal transcribed spacer 2, and large subunit ribosomal RNA". The stretch from base 1 to 122 matches the Rfam family "5.8S ribosomal RNA", at positions 35 to 154 of the family's 154-position model. The record is from RNAcentral.
GAUGAAGAACGCAGCGAAAUGCGAUACUUGGUGUGAAUUGCAGAAUCCCGUGAACCAUCGAGUCUUUGAACGCAAGUUGCGCCUCAAGCCAUUAGGUUGAGGGCACGUCUGCCUGGGCGUCACAUAUCGUUGCCUGAUGCCAGUUUCCUCGUGAUGGGUGACUGUGCAGGGCGAAUGAUGGCUUCCCGUGAGCAUUGUUGCCUCAUGGUUGGUUGAAAAUUGAGUCCUUGGUAGGGAGCGCCGUGAUAGAUGGUGGUUGAGUGACGAACGAGACCCAAUCAUGUGCGACCCCUACCGAAUUUGGCCUUCAUGACCCACAUGCGUCUUUGGAACGCUCAUGACGAGACCUCAGGUCAGGCGGGGCUACCCGCUGAGUUUAAGCAUAUCAAUAAGCGGAGGA